CUGGCCCAUUCCACCCCUUUCUUUUCCCAUUGCAACUUUUCCCCCAUCAAUGUUUCCAGUAAUAUUAGAAAGUGACUACAGAUGAGAAGUAAUUAUCUAGCUAAAUCUGGUGCAGUGGUAUAUUGUACAUUGGGUCAGCAACAGGCAGCCUGUGGGCCAAAAUCCUGCCCGCAAAUUUUUUAAAUGUUUUUUUAAUUGAUCGGGAUUGUAUUUUUAUUUAAUUUUUUAAAGACAAUCACUAGGAAUUCAGAUAAAAAAUGAGUUUAAUUUAGGAAAUAUGUUCCCAAGUAUUCCCACAAAUAAAAGAGAUGUGAUUGUGUCUCGGUGUGUAAUCAAGGUGUAAAAGUAUUAUUUUCGAAUAGUCUCUUUCGGAUCAGUUAGGGCCAUUAUGUGGAUCCUUUAGAUAUUUCAUUUAGAAUUUUAGGACCCAUUUCCCCCCAAAAUAUAAAUGUUUUAUUUGAUAACAUUUUCCAUUUGGCCUUUACUGGUAUAGAGCAUAUAUUCAUAAUUGGCACACACAAAAAAAUACAGUAAAGAAUGAAAUCAUAAGAAAAAAGGUUUUGAAGUGUCUGUCUUAUAUCUAGGAGAUAAAAGAAAGCUCAGGAAAUAUUUACAAUAUUACUUUUUUUGGACCACCUAUAUUUUUGGGAUUACAAAACAAACCCCCAUCCUACCAUUAAUUUGUAUGGGUUACCGUCAGAUGAAGGUUUAAUAUCUAUAUAUAUCUCCUUUGUAUGGGUUACCUUCAGAUGAGUCCAGUGACACUCGUGGGGGUCAUAGACAGUGUUCCCUCUAAGAUGCGCGCGUGUACGGCCACGCACUUCCCCCAGGACCGCAGCGCAAAAGAAGUGCCAUGCCGCGCAGAGACGCAAGAGGUUGAACUUCACUGAGUUCGCCUUAUCAGUUUGCACUAUAUAGAUUUUAUUUUAAUGUAUGUGAUCGAAUCAACAUUAUAUCAGCCUCUUUUCAAUGCACCGAAACAAAUCUAACUUUUGCAAGAUUGAGUCUGUGAUUUUAUUGGCAGAGCCAGAGCGCAACGGAGGAUUCUAUUGGUGAGGGUAGCCUCACGAGUCUCUCAAUCACCCGCGAGUAAAUGCGCUUUUCACAUCAGAGCCGCCCUUGUUGCACUUUUGUUAAUAUUCUUUCACUAGUUAGUGAGUUAUUAGCCCGGUUAUAGAUAAGUAUAGGUCAACAAUGGGGAGUUACUACUAGUACUAGUUUUUUAUGCUAACAAUGCCUGCAAUACCGCGUUCGGCCUAGAACCUCCGUGGCUUCAGUGAGAGGGGGCACUCUGUCUCCCCGGUCUGCAGCGUCGCGUUCAAUUCCAAUGUUCUUGUUUAUUAUAGACCAGACAUUCGAGAGGGGAGAUAGGUGGUUUUCACUAGUUACCACAGCCGCAAAGUCAAAAUAGUUUAUAUCGAAAAAAAUGUAUUAAAACAAACAUUUGCUUUUUUGCUUAUAAUUGAAAGUUAAGGUUAGGCAUAUGUUAGGUUUAAAAUCUGAUUUUAAGAGAAAUUCUAGAAAUAGGCGUGGUUUAAUGCCUUUGUGGUUGUGACAAACGAGAUGGAUUCCGCAUCCUGUCUGUGUGUCUGUGUGGAAGGUCGUAGCACAUGCUCAGUUGUGUCUGGUAGAAACGGGAGCUCGAGGUGGGGAUACGCUGUGAGGUCACAGCACCAGCUCAGUGGAAGCCCCUCUCUGAGAGCAAGCGCUCUGCGCCGUCCUCCAUUUUGAGCACCUGACAAUAGGUGGGAAGGGGAGAGAGAGAGAGUGAGUCGAUUCACAACGACCACUUCAAUUCUAGACAAACUGUCAACAAACGAGCCUUAGAGAUUGGUGUCAGAAAUGGACGACAUGUUUGCUACUCGGAGGAGAAAUGAGACACAGAAGCAAGGCUGGUGCCGACUCCAUUUUGCAGUAGCCCACUCUGUCUGUUCUCGUGUUUACAAUCGAGCCGACAUGGCAGCCCUGAGAAGCUUUGUGCAGACACACACUCUCGCUCCAGCUGAUACAUGUGAUCAUGUCAAAGAAAUACUUCAUGUUGUAGGUGUUUCGGGAGUCUGUGUGGUUGAUUGGAGAAGUCGUUUUUUUUUUCGCACAGUUUUUGUAAUAUUAUGACGGCGUUAUAGUCGUGCGAGGAUUGGACGGAUCGGAUGUUUGGGGCGGGGUUUCCCCUGGUAAAGUUGCACCAUGCUGGAUCAGGACUGUUAUUGUUUUGGUUCAGGAAGUAACAAUACAAAAGAUGCCUGUUUGGUCUUGCAUGUGUCAUUUUCUAGACUUGACAUGAAAUAUGUUGGGAGCCAUUCCUGUUGUACAGGACAUGGCUAUCCAAGUUGCACUGACUAUUACUCAUCCGAUACAAAAUAGACACAAGUUUGUGUCCGUCCGAAUACUUAUACUCGCGUACUACGUCCUUAAACUGGAUACUAAUUUCUGCGUUUGAUCAAGUAUAAUUCACUCGUCUUUUCCGACUUAACAGCUGAUAAUCAGAUAGUUAACGCGAUCGCGAACUAGAUGGGAGCAUAGCAUGUGGAGUUCUAUUUUCGAAAUUUCACGUACUAGAAAACUGUAUAUUUUUUCGCAUACUAUAAUUAGUACGCUAGAAUGGGUAUUCGGACAUAGACUGUUAAUAGAUACAUAUGAUACUGCUGCAUGUUCAGGUAUAAUAAUAUGAUCAAAUAUGACUUUCCUUGAAUAUUACUCAUAACGUACAUAGAGAAAUGUACCCCAAUCCCUAACAUUUUUUUUAUUUUUAUAAAAUAUAUAUAUAUAUAUAUGGAUUUAUUAAUAAACGGGUUCAUAAGUGUCAA
This is a long non-coding RNA of Oncorhynchus nerka (sockeye salmon), 2807 nucleotides long. RefSeq lists it as uncharacterized. The transcript is spliced from 2 exons. The record is from RefSeq and is a predicted model, not a curated record. NCBI's taxonomy places the organism in Eukaryota, Metazoa, Chordata, Actinopteri, Salmoniformes, Salmonidae.